Molecule: transfer RNA, 68 nt
Filed under: Marmota monax (woodchuck)
Lineage: Eukaryota; Metazoa; Chordata; Mammalia; Rodentia; Sciuridae
Description: tRNA.Ala
Source: RNAcentral
GGAUUGUGACUCAAUGGUAGAGCACCUGCUUGGCAUGCAUGAGGCACUGGGUUGGAUCCCUGGCACCA